CUUGAUUACAUUAAUCAUUGCUCUUUAAUCUGAUUUACCAUUACACUUCACUGCUGUGCACUUCCCUCUCUUUGCCAUUUUCCUUUCUCUAUCUCUUUAGUGUCUCUGUCUCUCUCAAGCUUAUGCUUCAGUACUGACGUCAUCAAGUAUUUCAUUGAAUCCAAUUCAAGUUUCAAGCUAUGAAGUAUCAAGAGCAAAGGACUAUUAUAUGCAUGACCAAACAUUGUUGUAUUGUUGUGUGUUAUUUAUUUCUUUAAAUUGCCAAAAAAUAUUUUAAAUAA
Molecule: long non-coding RNA, 281 nt
Filed under: Amphimedon queenslandica
Lineage: Eukaryota; Metazoa; Porifera; Demospongiae; Haplosclerida; Niphatidae
Description: uncharacterized LOC109593296
Source: RNAcentral